CUUAAAUCGAAACUUGGGAUGGCCGGUCAACUAAAUUUUCUCUAUCUUCGGCUUCCAAUCCAACUUCAUUCAUCAUCUUCGGUUCGGUUCGAGCUUCAUUCCUCGACUUGCAGGUUACUGGGGGACUGUGAUAUUCCUACUGCUGUUCCUAACUCUGAAAGUUGUCUCCAAGAAAACGUCGAGGUUGUGGGAAAUGCCUCAUAUGGGUCAAAGCUUUCACGAAGAAUUGCCUCUCUCAUGAGAUUUCGUGAAAAGCGGAAAGAAAGAUACUUUGAAAAGAAAAUUAGGUACAGUUGUCGGAAAGAGGUUGUUGAGAGGAUGAAUCGUAAGAAUGGACAAUUUACAUCAUCAAAGGAUUCUUAUAAUACAGAUGUUGUAAACUCAAAUUGAAGCAAUGGUGCUACUCUUGAACCUGUGUGAGCUUGAUUCUUACUUGUUAUGUGCAAAGUUCAGCUAUAAAAGCAUUGGAGUUGCCACUGGAUUAGUAGUCCUAAUUUUCCGUGGAUCCUUCCACCAGAGAGGUUGAAACAAAAGUUGCUUGGCCUACUGACAAAGUUGUCCUAGCUUUUCCAAAACAAUUUUAGGCCAUUUUUGUUGUAGUGAAAUGACCAUUAAUGAUCAAUGAGUCAUCUACCCAAAUCCACAAGAAGGAACGAAAAAUAAUUGGUGUCAUUUAUGUAAAAAGAGCCUAGGCACUAUCAAAGAGAUUGCCUGAAAUGACAGGCAUUGUGCGAAAAGAAAGGGAUUCCUUACAACCCAUACCAUAAACGCCAAUGAAAGGUUUGUGUUUGGGGAGAAUAGAGUCAAGGCACAAUUCAAAGCCAUUGGAACUGACAGUUUAAUUUUAGAUACUAGACAUCAUUUGGAUUUAUUCCAAACUCUUUAUAUAUCUACAU
Pistacia vera is the source of this 896-nucleotide RNA transcript. It is a transcript of the gene named GATA transcription factor 24-like, with no coding region annotated. The record is from RefSeq and is a predicted model, not a curated record. The transcript is spliced from 7 exons. Lineage: Eukaryota; Viridiplantae; Streptophyta; Magnoliopsida; Sapindales; Anacardiaceae.